Orbicella faveolata is the source of this 2139-nucleotide long non-coding RNA. NCBI's taxonomy places the organism in Eukaryota, Metazoa, Cnidaria, Anthozoa, Scleractinia, Merulinidae. The record is from RefSeq and is a predicted model, not a curated record.
UCUUUCUUAAUUGGCUAUUGUUUUGUCAAGCAUUGUCCUCUAUUAGUCACAGAAAAAAGGCAGAGUCCAAGUUUUUGUCACUUUCUUGGAAGUUAGAAUUAUUUCAACACACAUGGUGAUUUAAAUAGGUUUUGUACGUUGGUUUGUUAUUUGAAUCUUGCAGCCUCUGAGUUGACACGGUUCGUAGGGCCUCAUGGACGUCAAGGGAUGGAGUUUUGCACACCUUCGAAGUUGCAGGGACCUCCUCAGAAAUUGAUGAUAAAGCUGUGGAAAGUUUUGUUGAUGAGGACGACUUCAUCAUCUCUUUAGACUACAAUGCCCAAAAUGGUGUUUGCAGUAUAGUGUUGGAAACAUCAAGCUGACGAAUGGUUUUGGGCUCUUUUGCCCCGUUUUGUACUUCGCAAGAUGAAGGACGUUGUUUACAAGUUAAAUUUGUGCAUAUUUUAUUGAAGCUCACUUCAAGUGGUCUGUUAGGAGAAUUAUCUGACAUUCAGUUGAAGCUGAGGAAAACUGAAAAUAAUUUUUUUUUGUACAAGUGCCUAUCUUGGCUAUUUUGUCUUACCUUAAAAAGUAACAGUCACAUUAUAACACUGCUCACGAGUGAGUCGUGUUAAAUUUAAUACACUCCCUUACAAAGGAGCAUUGCUAUUAGUUUAUUACAGAGAGGUUCCCAUGUGACGAGAUUUGUAAGUUUUAUUUGUAACUAAAGAUGGAGGUUCUCCACUGAAAAGAUUGUAUAAUUAUUUGAGCUAAGAUUGAUGUGUCACUGGAUAUUUGUUUUGUAAUUUAUUUCAUGUAAAUUUUCAACAAAAAUGGUGUUAAUUUAACACAUCAAAAGUAUUGGAGGCAUUAUAUUCUGUUACAGCCUAAUUUAUAGAAAAAUGUUAUCUAUGGAUAAUACAUUUAGAAAGUUUAUUGUGUGUUGGAGAAAUUUGUAUCAUUUUAAGGAAUGCCAAAUUGAGAGAUUUCUUUAAGUACGGUUCUCUGUGAAGCACAUUGUGUUCAUUUUCCUUUUUUAUUAUUUUUUUUUAAAUAAAAAAUAUCCCUGGCAAGCUAUAAAAUGAUAGAAGUCUUCACUUUUAACAUGUUACAAAUAGCAUGGAAAUUUUGAGAAUGUCUUUCCUGUGUGAAUUACUGAGUUAAUCCCCAAGGUUUAUGGUCUCUUGUUUUCUAGUCCUUUUGGAUCGAUAGUAUUUUUUGGAAGUUUAGCCUUAACUUUAGCCCUAUAUCUUCUUCUGAGACUGCAAAGUUUCAGCAUGGUCAAAACUCUUGAUUGUGUCAAAUGAGUGACAUAAGAAGAGCAGAUAAUUGCUCAAGCAUUUUUCCUAACUUGAAUUUCAGCAAGUAUUUUUAGCAUAUAUUUUUUUUUUAUCAGAGACUACAGGUGAACUUAGGUACACCUUGUUAUUAAAUGCUGACCAUGUGCCUGAUAUGUACUUUGCACUGCCAACAGUUGAGGGUUAAGAGUAAAGUUAAGACUGAAACAGCUGUAGGUGGUCAAAGCAAAUGGCUGACCAUACAAAGAGUCUCUGAAGUUAGCGUGCUGAAACUUUGCAGGUGUAAAAAAUUUUGGCAUGCUCUAGAACCUUCUCUCUGUACAUGUAUGAUGUUUUUUGGUUACUCUGUGUGUUUACAGGUAAUAUUUUGCAUUGCAUUGCAUUGUGAAGGGGAUGGAUAUUAAGAACGUUUGUUUUUGUCUUAGUUUUGUGCAAAUUUAUUUUGAAAACCACUGCUUUCCUUUUUAUAGGUACCCUAACUUAUCAGGAUCUCAAGGGGGGAUGGGUGGGGGUAUCUGGUGUUAUUGAUGCUUGCCAUUGAUUUUGGAAUUGGUGAGGAUCUUCUAGCACUUAGAAGUAGGUUUUGAAUGUGAUGGCUUGGUGUUAUCAACUUUUAAACCACCCUGAGACCCUCAUAGUUGGUUUACUUUGGAGACAGUUUCCAGUGGAAGCAUUCUAGUGCAAACAGUCUUAAGUUGUAAGAACGUUUGUGUAUAAACUUGCAAAGAUCUUAGAAGAAUCUUCCUUCCUAGCCAGAUUGUUACUUUUAGAUGGCUUUGUGUUUUGAAGAGGAAGAUAUUCUGGAUGUAACUUGACGAAUAUCAUGUUACUAUCACUGACCAAAUAAACUUUGAAACUGAUA